AUGUCAUGGAAGGCGGAGCUAAUCAGAGCAACUUUUGCUAGGUUUGAUGCCGAAGAUAUCCUCAAGAUACCAUUGUGCACCCGCAAGGUUGCUGAUUUCUGGGCCUGGCAGGAAGAACCGAGGGGCAUUUUCAGCGUUCGUUCCGCUUAUCCCAUGAUCCUCAGAACAAAGCAUGAGCGUGAGGCUUGGCUGAAUGAAGAGGAGGGGACAUCCAUUGUGCAGCAAGAGGCGGACAAGUGGAGUAAUAUUUGGCACCUGCAGGUUCCAUCGAAGCUCCGCAUGUUUGUUUGGCGGCUGGCGAGAAAUUACAUGCCCACUAUCGACUUACUAAAGCAUCGCAACAUGACUACUGAGGACAAUUGUCCCUUAUGUGGAGCGGUUGAUACGUGGAGACAUGCUCUUUUUAUGUGUCUGAUGUCAAGCAGCGUUUGGGCCCUAGCUCCGGAGGUUUUGGUUCAUCAUCUGGUGGAUAGAAUGGAAGAACAUCCCAAGGAUUGGCUCUUCGCUAUGAGUGAAGCUCUGAACAGAGACAUGUUUACGCAUAUGAUUGUCAUCAUGUGGGCUAUUUGGCGAGCUCGUAGGAAAGCGAUCUAUGAAGAUAUAUUCCAAUCACCACACUCCAUUCAUGGGUUCAUCACAAGCUUUCUUGAGGAUCUGAGGUAUAUUAAUGCAGGUGAACCUCAACAUACCGGUGUGAAAGCCCCAAGGCCAACCCAAUGGCAGGCUCCGACCACGGGAUGCGUGGAGAUCAAUGUAUAUGCAGCGGCACCCAGGCAUGCUAGGUUUGGGGCCGUGGGGGCGAUCUGCAGAAGUCCAGAUGGACUGUUUUUGGGAGCUUCAGCUUUGGUUAUGAGGCACAUCGGGGAUCCGGAGACGCUAGAAGCUAUGGCGAUCAUAGAAGGACUAGCACUUGCAGAGGACCUUUACCAAAGGCGUAUUCAUGUUGCAUCUGAUUGCAAGCAGGUAGUCGACUCUCUAAAGAAGGAGGACGCUUCUCCAUAUGGUGCUAUUGUGCAUGAAAUAAUAAGCCACUCUUUAGAUUUUGAUAUGUGUAAAGUUAGCCAUGAAUUUAGGAGCUCAAAUUAUGAAGCUCACAACUUAGUGAAGCAUGCUCUAUCUCUCGGGGAUGGACGUCGUGUGUGGCUGGGCCACCCCGGAGAUCUUCCUUUUGUCCCUGUAAACAUUGUGACAAAUUAA
RNAcentral lists this ribosomal RNA (1197 nucleotides) under Triticum aestivum (bread wheat). RNAcentral describes it as "partial small subunit ribosomal RNA". The record is from RNAcentral. Lineage: Eukaryota; Viridiplantae; Streptophyta; Magnoliopsida; Poales; Poaceae.